GGCUUAAUGAAAUUAAUUUUAAGUCGAUCUGCCCAAUGAUUAAAUUAUUUAAUGGCUGCAGUAUAAUUGACUGUACAAAGGUAGCAUAAUCAAUUGUUUUUUAAUUAGAAACUGGAAUGAAAGAAUUAAUGAGAUAUAUACUGUCUCAUAUAUAUAUUAUUAAUUUAAAUUUUUAGUAAAAAUGCUAAAAUAGAUUUAUGGGACGAUAAGACCCUAUAGAAUUUUAUAUUUAUAUUUAGAUUAUUAUUUAUUUUAAAUAUUAAUAUUUAAUUGGGAGGAUUAUUAAAUUUGUAAAACUUUAUUUUAAAUUUAAACUUUAAUUUAAGAAUUAUUGAUGAUCUUGUAUUAUGAAUUAAAAGAAUAAAUUACCUUAGGGAUAACAGCGUAAUAUCUUUUUAAAGAUCAAAUUGAUAAAGAUGAUUGCGACCUCGAUGUUGAAUUAAGAUAAAUUUUAAAUGAAGAAGUUUAAUAAUUAAGUCUGUUCGACUUUUAAAAUCUU
RNAcentral lists this ribosomal RNA (499 nucleotides) under Bombus hypnorum. RNAcentral's name for it is "partial 16S ribosomal RNA". The stretch from base 376 to 499 matches the Rfam family "Bacterial large subunit ribosomal RNA", at positions 2473 to 2597 of the family's 2925-position model. The record is from RNAcentral. Lineage: Eukaryota; Metazoa; Arthropoda; Insecta; Hymenoptera; Apidae.